Molecule: non-coding RNA, 21 nt
Filed under: Rattus norvegicus (Norway rat)
Lineage: Eukaryota; Metazoa; Chordata; Mammalia; Rodentia; Muridae
Source: RNAcentral
CUCACAUUGUUGCCCAGAGUC